CAAGAAUUAGCUUAAGGAGAGUUUUUGUUUACGACAAAAGGGUAUGAUUUCUUGA
RNAcentral lists this transfer RNA (55 nucleotides) under Armillifer armillatus. RNAcentral describes it as "tRNA-Val". Lineage: Eukaryota; Metazoa; Arthropoda; Ichthyostraca; Porocephalida; Armilliferidae. The record is from RNAcentral.